RNAcentral lists this ribosomal RNA (727 nucleotides) under uncultured bacterium. RNAcentral's name for it is "bacterial SSU rRNA". It matches the Rfam family "Bacterial small subunit ribosomal RNA", at positions 100 to 839 of the family's 1533-position model. The record is from RNAcentral.
GAACGGGUGAGUAACACGUGAGUAACCUGCCCUUCAGUGGGGGACAACAGUUGGAAACGACUGCUAAUACCGCAUAAGACCACAGUGCCACAUGGCACGGUGAUCAAAGGAUUAAUUUUCGCUGAAGGAUGGACUCGCGUCUGAUUAGCUAGAUGGUGAGGUAACGGCCCACCAUGGCAACGAUCAGUAGCCGGACUGAGAGGUUGAUCGGCCACAUUGGGACUGAGACACGGCCCAGACUCCUACGGGAGGCAGCAGUGGGGGAUAUUGCACAAUGGAGGAAACUCUGAUGCAGCGACGUCGCGUGAGGGAAGAAGGUUUUCGGAUUGUAAACCUCUGUCUUCGGGGACGAAACAAAUGACGGUACUCGAGGAGGAAGCCACGGCUAACUACGUGCCAGCAGCCGCGGUAAUACGUAGGUGGCAAGCGUUGUCCGGAAUUACUGGGUGUAAAGGGAGCGCAGGCGGAACUGCAAGUUGGGUGUUUAAUCUACGGGCUCAACCCGUAUCAGCAUUCAAAACUGUGGUUCUUGAGUAAUGCAGAGGUAGGCGGAAUUCCCGGUGUAGCGGUGGAAUGCGUAGAUAUCGGGAGGAACACCAGUGGCGAAGGCGGCCUACUGGGCAUCAACUGACGCUGAGGCUCGAAAGCAUGGGUAGCAAACAGGAUUAGAUACCCUGGUAGUCCAUGCUGUAAACGAUGAUUACUAGGUGUGGGGAGAUUGACCCUC